This 21-nucleotide unclassified non-coding RNA is filed under the name Chlamydomonas reinhardtii. RNAcentral's name for it is "small RNA Cre_0215". Lineage: Eukaryota; Viridiplantae; Chlorophyta; Chlorophyceae; Chlamydomonadales; Chlamydomonadaceae. The record is from RNAcentral.
ACAUAGCUCGCGAUGCGUGGC